CAGCUGGCGAGGCUGGCUGCGGGGAGGAAGGGGAGGGAAAUGCAACAGCUCCAUAUUACAAGGUUCCUUAAAGAGCAUCCUGGCAGAGGAAAAUGCUGGCUUUUCAUGAAAUGCACUGCAGGCUGGUCUGAGAGCAGAUGAGAUGAAUGCACAGCAAAAUGUCCAGUGAGCGUGGACACGACUGGGACUCAGAACUGAAACAUAGUUGAGAUUGGAAGGUCUCUGGAAGUCUCCUGGUCCAAACACCCUGCUCCAGCAGGGCCAGUUGCCCAGGACUUUUCCAGAUGGUUUUGAAUAUCUCCAAGGAUGGAUUCCACAGCCUCUGGGCAACCUGCACCGAGUCUCUCAGCCUCUCCUCACAUAAGGGUUCUUUCCCUUGCUUAAUCUUCUCCCCUUUGCUGGACGUUCUCCAGUAGCUCCAUUUCUCUCUUGUACUGGUCAGCCCAGAACGAAAACCUCCAAAACUGCUGAAAAAGGCUGCUGAAGCCCGGGAUUGAACCAGGGACCUUUAGAUCUUCAGUCUAACGCUCUCCCAGCUGAGCUACUUCAGCCCUGUUCUGGCAUGAAUAUUCACCAAAUGUAAUCAUCUUGCAAACCUUUCCAGACAAACCUUGUUGGCAUUAGCUUGUGAGUCAAAGAAGUCAUUUCAGGGAACAGAAUGCAGACAGGCAGGGCUCAAAAAAGAGGCUCUGUGUGUGAGCCUUCGAUAACAGCAUGCCUCUGGGGGAUGUAUGGAAGAGGAGCAGGGAAGCAAACCUUCUGUUCCUGAAGGGCUGAAAGGGGAGUACAUUUACCUUCACAUUACAGAAGGGAUCUGUCACUCACAAAUCAUUGAAAGGAAAGUGAGGAGAUGGAGCUAGGUCUCUAUAAAUGCAAAACUACGGAUGGGGCAGCUGAAUGUCAAAGGACAAGGGUGAUGGAGGAUGAAGAGAAAGGAAAAGUAAUUGUAGAAAGUGCUCACAAAUUACUGUGAAUGGGAAGAGAAUAAAAGAGACUAUCAAAUACAGACUGUUCACUCUGUGUUUCUUGUUUUGAACAGACCCUGUUGUUUCCCUCCUCAGAUCCUAAUUCUUUGUCAUGCUGUUUAGGGUUAGACUUAGAUGUCAGUUGUGCUGGUUAAUUUAACUCUCUUCUGUAGAGUUAGACUUGUCUGCAGUGCCACCUCUGCCCUACGGACCACAACACGCUGCUAAUUAGAGA
Long non-coding RNA from Oxyura jamaicensis (ruddy duck), 1200 nucleotides. RefSeq lists it as uncharacterized. The record is from RefSeq and is a predicted model, not a curated record. The transcript is spliced from 3 exons. Lineage: Eukaryota; Metazoa; Chordata; Aves; Anseriformes; Anatidae.